Molecule: long non-coding RNA, 257 nt
Filed under: Vitis vinifera (wine grape)
Lineage: Eukaryota; Viridiplantae; Streptophyta; Magnoliopsida; Vitales; Vitaceae
Description: long non-coding RNA (VVIN_LNC004603)
Source: RNAcentral
UUCAGACCUCUCUCUCUUUGUUCUGCUUCCUUCUCCGUUCUCCAUGCGUGCUACUUCAAAGUCCCCUUUGAAAACCUGCUCCAAGGAGAGUCCAUUUUCUUUCAAAAUCUGCAGUCGUAUUGAUGUCCGGAAUCCUUUGUGGCCUCCUUCUACGGCUGUGUGAUGGUGAGCCUUAAUGAAUCAAAACUCCAUUUUCUUUUAGAUGCCCGCCAUGUCUAUAUGCCAUCUCUCUCCUUUGAAUUCCAAACUCCUCAAAA